Molecule: ribosomal RNA, 427 nt
Filed under: uncultured prokaryote
Description: bacterial SSU rRNA
Rfam family: Bacterial small subunit ribosomal RNA
Source: RNAcentral
CUAAGAAUAUUCCGCAAUGGACGAAAGUCUGACGGAGCGACGCCGCGUGGAUGAAGAAGGCCGCAAGGUUGUAAAAUCCUUUUGCUGGGGAAGAAUAAGUCCAGGAGGGAAUGCCUGGAUGAUGACAUGAACCGGCGAAUAAGCCCCGGCCAACUACGUGCCAGCAGCCGCGGUAACACGUAGGGGGCAAGCGUUGUUCGGAAUUACUGGGCGUAAAGGGCAUGUAGGCGGUUUAGUAAGCUUGGCGUGAAAGGCCACAGCUCAACUGUGGGGUUGCGUUGAGAACUGCUGAACUUGAGUUACGGAGAGGGAGCUAGAAUUCCUGGUGUAGGGGUGGAAUCUGUAGAGAUCAGGAAGAAUACCGAUGGCGAAGGCAAGCUCCUGGCCAAUGAUUGACGCUGAGGUGCGAAAGUGUGGGGAUCAAACA